UGAUGUCUCACGUUGGGUGGAUCU
RNAcentral lists this non-coding RNA (24 nucleotides) under Rattus norvegicus (Norway rat). The record is from RNAcentral. Lineage: Eukaryota; Metazoa; Chordata; Mammalia; Rodentia; Muridae.